This 500-nucleotide ribosomal RNA is filed under the name uncultured bacterium. RNAcentral describes it as "partial 16S ribosomal RNA". It matches the Rfam family "Bacterial small subunit ribosomal RNA", at positions 30 to 523 of the family's 1533-position model. The record is from RNAcentral.
AUUGAACGCUGGCGGCAUGCCUUACACAUGCAAGUCGAACGGCAGCACGGGAGCAAUCCUGGUGGCGAGUGGCGAACGGGUGAGUAAUAUAUCGGAACGUGCCCAGUCGUGGGGGAUAACGCAGCGAAAGCUGUGCUAAUACCGCAUACGAUCUACGGAUGAAAGCGGGGGAUCGCAAGACCUCGCGCGAUUGGAGCGGCCGAUAUCAGAUUAGCUAGUUGGUGAGGUAAAGGCUCACCAAGGCGACGAUCUGUAGCUGGUCUGAGAGGACGACCAGACACACUGGAACUGAGACACGGUCCAGACUCCUACGGGAGGCAGCAGUGGGGAAUUUUGGACAAUGGGCGCAAGCCUGAUCCAGCAAUGCCGCGUGCAGGAUGAAGGCCUUCGGGUUGUAAACUGCUUUUGUACGGAGCGAAACGGUCUUUCCUAAUACGAGAGGCUAAUGACGGUACCGUAAGAAUAAGCACCGGCUAACUACGUGCCGGCCGCCGCGGUAA